RNAcentral lists this transfer RNA (66 nucleotides) under Geoscapheus dilatatus. Its description in RNAcentral is "tRNA-Trp". The record is from RNAcentral. Lineage: Eukaryota; Metazoa; Arthropoda; Insecta; Blattodea; Blaberidae.
AAGACUUUAAGUUAAUAAAACUUUUAUCCUUCAAAGCUAAAAAUAAAGAAUUUUCUUUAAGUCUUA